RNAcentral lists this ribosomal RNA (253 nucleotides) under uncultured bacterium. RNAcentral describes it as "partial 16S ribosomal RNA". It matches the Rfam family "Bacterial small subunit ribosomal RNA", at positions 524 to 776 of the family's 1533-position model. The record is from RNAcentral.
UACAGAGGGUGCGAGCGUUGUUCGGAAUUAUUGGGCGUAAAGGGCGCGUAGGCGGUGCGGUAAGUCACCUGUGAAAUCUCCUGGCUCAACUGGGAGCUUGCAGGCGAAACUGCCGUGCUGGAGUGUGGGAGAGGUGCGUGGAAUUCCCGGUGUAGCGGUGAAACGCGUAGAUAUCGGGAGGAACACCUGUGGCGAAAGCGGCGCACUGGACCACAACUGACGCUGAGGCGCGAAAGCUAGGGGAGCAAACAGG